GGUCAUAUACCAUACAUACGCCAAUACCCUGAAAGUCUGGCCGGUUCCAGCGUUUACCUGUCUGUAGAAGCCAAGGAUAGGGGAACUGCGGCUCGUUCUUCAACAGGUACCGUAGUCAUAACGCUAGAAGCUACAACUACUACGUCAACGACAAUGACAACGGAGAACGUAGCUAUAUUUAGUAUCUUGAUGAUUCUAGUGUUGCUGGCAUUCUUAAUUGGUCUCUACUUCCUGUUCCGGUGGUGUAUUACCGGAAGUUGUUGUGGUGGGAAAAGUGGUCAAGGUGGUAUUUGUGACAACUGCUGUAGACCAACUCCACCUAGACGUGUUCAACCGUUACCCAUGGUAUACGAAGACUAUGUUGUGCCGCCAGUAGCAUCCAGUGAUUAUAAAGGUGAUUUCUGGCAUACAGGAGAUUCCUAUGCCCAUGGUAGACCAUACUGAUGAUAAUAUACACUGGUUAUAUAAAUGUAUAUACUAUACACUGGUUAUAUAACUGUAUAUACUAUACACGGGU
Molecule: long non-coding RNA, 517 nt
Organism: Patella vulgata (common limpet)
Lineage: Eukaryota; Metazoa; Mollusca; Gastropoda; Patellidae
Exons: 3
Source: RefSeq, a predicted model, not a curated record